Molecule: ribosomal RNA, 810 nt
Filed under: uncultured bacterium
Lineage: Bacteria
Description: bacterial SSU rRNA
Rfam family: Bacterial small subunit ribosomal RNA
Source: RNAcentral
AGAGUUUGAUCAUGGCUCAGAACGAACGCUGGCGGCGUGGAUAAGACAUGCAAGUCGAACGGGACUUUUUCCAGUAGCAAUACCGGGAAAAGUUUAGUGGCGAACGGGUGCGUAACACGUGGGGAAUCUGCCGAGAAGUGGGGGAUAGCUCGUCGAAAGGCGAAUUAAUACCGCAUAUGAUCAGGGAAGACAUCUUUCCAACAUCAAAGCCGGGGCAACCUGGCGCUUCUUGAUGACCCCGCGGCCUAUCAGCUAGUUGGUGAGGUAACGGCCCACCAAGGCGAUGACGGGUAGCUGGUCUGAGAGGACGACCAGUCACACUGGAACUGAGACACGGUCCAGACACCUACGGGUGGCAGCAGUCGAGAAUUUUUCUCAAUGGGCGAAAGCCUGAAGGAGCGACGCCGCGUGGAGGAUGAAGGCUUUCGGGUUGUAAACUCCUGUCAUUUGAGAACAAGUGUUGGCAAGUAACUACUGCCAACUUGAUAGUAUCAGAAGAGGAAGGGACGGCUAACUCUGUGCCAGCAGCCGCGGUAAUACAGAGGUCCCAAGCGUUGUUCGGAUUCAUUGGGCGUAAAGGGUGCGUAGGUGGCGUGGUAAGUCGGGUGUGAAAUUUCGGAGCUUAACUCCGAAACUGCAUUCGAUACUGCCGUGCUUGAGGACUGGAGAGGAGACUGGAAUUUACGGUGUAGCAGUGAAAUGCGUAGAGAUCGUAAGGAAGACCAGUGGCGAAGGCGGGUCUCUGGACAGUUCCUGACACUGAGGCACGAAGGCCAGGGGAGCAAACGGGAUUAGAUACCCUAGUAGUCC